This 301-nucleotide ribosomal RNA is filed under the name uncultured bacterium. RNAcentral describes it as "partial 16S ribosomal RNA". It matches the Rfam family "Bacterial small subunit ribosomal RNA", at positions 509 to 807 of the family's 1533-position model. The record is from RNAcentral.
CAGCAGCCACGGUAAUACGUAGGUGGCAAGCGUUGUCCGGAAUUAUUGGGCGUAAAGGGCUCGCAGGCGGUUUCUUAAGUCUGAUGUGAAAGCCCCCGGCUCAACCGGGGAGGGUCAUUGGAAACUGGGAAACUUGAGUGCAGAAGAGGAGAGUGGAAUUCCACGUGUAGCGGUGAAAUGCGUAGAGAUGUGGAGGAACACCAGUGGCGAAGGCGACUCUCUGGUCUGUAACUGACGCUGAGGAGCGAAAGCGUGGGGAGCGAACAGGAUUAGAGACCCCUGUAGUCCCUGUCUCUUAUAC